AAAGCGUGCGCAGGCGGUUUUGUAAGACUGUCGUGAAAUCCCCGGGCUCAACCUGGGAAUGGCGAUGGUGACUGCAAGGCUAGAGUUUGGCAGAGGGGGGUAGAAUUCCACGUGUAGCAGUGAAAUGCGUAGAUAUGUGGAGGAACACCGAUGGCGAAGGCAGCCCCCUGGGUCAAAACUGACGCUCAUGCACGAAAGCGUGGGGAGCAAACAGGAUUAGAUACCCAGGU
Molecule: ribosomal RNA, 230 nt
Filed under: uncultured bacterium
Lineage: Bacteria
Description: partial 16S ribosomal RNA
Rfam family: Bacterial small subunit ribosomal RNA
Source: RNAcentral